ACAGGUGCUGCAUGGCUGUCGUCAGCUCGUGUCGUCGAGAUGUUGGGUUAAGUCCCGUAACGAGCGCAACCCUUGUCCUUAGGUUACCAGCACGUUAUGGUGGGCACUCUAAGGAGACUGCCGGUGACAACCGGAGGAAGGUGGGGAUGACGUCAAGUCAUCAUGGCCCUUACGGCCUGGGCUACACACGUGCUACAAUGGUCGGUACAAAGGGUUGCCGAAGCCGCGAGGUGGAGCUAAUACCCAUAAAACCGAUCGUAGUCCGGAUCGCAGUCUGCAACUCGACUGCGUGAAGUCGGAAUCGCUAGUAAUCGUGAAUCAGAAUGUCACGGUGAAUACGUUCCCGGGCCUU
This 352-nucleotide ribosomal RNA is filed under the name uncultured Pseudomonas sp. RNAcentral describes it as "bacterial SSU rRNA". It matches the Rfam family "Bacterial small subunit ribosomal RNA", at positions 1034 to 1382 of the family's 1533-position model. The record is from RNAcentral. Lineage: Bacteria; Pseudomonadati; Pseudomonadota; Gammaproteobacteria; Pseudomonadales; Pseudomonadaceae.